Molecule: ribosomal RNA, 209 nt
Filed under: uncultured microorganism
Description: partial 16S ribosomal RNA
Rfam family: Archaeal small subunit ribosomal RNA
Source: RNAcentral
GCGCAGCAGGCGCGAAAACUUCACACUGUGCGAAAGCACGAUGAGGGAAUCCCAAGUGCUUGCACGUAAGUGUAAGCUGUUUCUCUGUUUAAAACGCAGAGAGAGUAAGGGCUGGGGUAAGACGGGUGCCAGCCGCCGCGGUAAUACCUGCGAGCUCAAGUGGUGACCGUUAUUAUUGGGCCUAAAACGUCCGUAGCCGGUUUAAUAAA